UUGAGGAGUCCAGGGACGAGUGGACGACUGGGCAGUCUGGACGAGGUUGUAAGUUUGUAGCGGUUGAGAGACGAGGAUUGUCAACUUCUUCAUGUGUGUAAGUUUGUUUUAUCUUCCGGCUUCCUCAGUUCAGUCACAAAUUUUGAUUGUCUAUUACUAAAUGUAAACAUGUUCUAAUAUUUAGCAUCGUUAGUUCAUUACUUAGAGUUUUGAAUAAAAGAAUCACGAACAUCAUAAAAUCCUAAAUCUUCUUGUGUAUAUAGACAAACAUAUCAGACGACGAGUGACAUGAGAAAGAUAUUUUUAAAAAUAUUUAAUGAUAUGUGUCAUCGUCGUAGGACAUUGAAGUAUUUAAAAUUUUUAUUUGAAUUUUUUAUUGUUAAUUAAAAUUAAUUGAAUGAAUGUUUUUUUUAAUAUUUUGAAUAUUAAUUAAUUAAUGUAUUUAAUAUUCAUUUUUAUAAGUUUUUAUGAUCGAUUUUAUGAAUAUGCCAUGUUAAAAUUUUAUUUUUAAAAUAGUAAAAAAAAAUUCCUGUCUUCGACGAUUUUCGGCCCCACUAUCAAUGAUUCCUGGAUAGUUGGUGUGGGUUUUUCUUUUCUUUGAUUCAUAUAUAAAUAUUUUACGUCAUGUACUUUUCCCCUUCGUAAUCUUAUUUUAGGGAUGAUUUUUAUGAAUCGGAUCUUCAUUUUUCAAAAUCCAUCUAUGUCAUUUUACAGAAAAUCAUCACUCAGGAAGAUGAAUCAUAUCUAUUAUUCUAAGAUAACUAAAAAAUAUAAACAAAAGUUGAAAUGCACUUAUUUUUUGCUUGUUAAUGGUGUAUAAUGGGAGAUGGACUUUGGUGAGACAUGACUGACAGUCACUCUCAGUAACGUCCUUCAACAAGGACUAGAGUUCUGCCACUUUAUGUCGAACCUCUGGAAAGAUCCAAGGAUACGGAAAUCCGCCAUCUAAAGACCGCCAUACAAGGUCUUAUUUCUUGUAGUGUUACCACCCAAUACCUUGUAUCCAUGUCGAAAAAAUUUGACAUGUACAUGACACGACCGAAUCUGUAUCAACAUGAUAUGACACGACUGACACAACACGGAAUUUGUGUCGCGAUACAUCACGAACACGACACGACUGGAUAAUAAUAAUAAAAUUUCUGAAUAAUAAAAUUAAAAUUAAUUCAAGUUAUUUUAAAAUAUAAAAUAUUUGAUAGAGUUCUUUAUGAUUCAAAUACAAAAUCUAAUUAAAAUCUUAAAUUAAGUUAAGAUUAUUUUUUAAAAUCUAAGUCAAAUACAAAAUCUAAUAAAUUUUAUAAAAAUAUUAUUUUACCCCAAUUACAUAAACAUAGUUAAUUAAUAAUAUAAUAUUGUAUUUUCGUAUUAUCAUGUCAUAUAAUAUGUCUUGUCAACAGUUAACUUAGUGUCGUGUUUUUAUAUACAAAUAUUAAAUCGACAUUAUUAUUAAUCGUGUCAAAAUUUUCGACACUAUUAUAAACGUGUCGUGUUAAAAUCAUGUAUGUUAUUGUCCUAUUAAUAUAGGUCAAUCUCAAUGGAAGAGAGACACUUACUCUACAUACUCUAUAGAAAGAGUGAGUAAGAGAGAGAGAUUGAGAAAACCCUAAUUCGAUCGUGUAGGCCAACUUCCGACCAUACAUCAUCAUAUCAUAUUCUUGUUUCUUCUACUUUUUGAUCUGCUCGUCGUUUUUUCUUUUAAAGUAAUUAAAUUUCAUUAAAGAAAUAGUACAUAAUGCCCGUCGCUUUGGGUAUUACCUGAUUUCUAACUUGUACAUGUGUUAUUCUUUCAUCAUCAUCAAGUUCACAAGUGUUUUUUUUAUCUUGAAUGGUGACGAUGUGAAUAGUUCGUCGAAUAUCGAACUUUUGUUGCAACUACUGAAGAAUAGACUAACUUUGAUCUUUUGUUUGGAAUGGCAAUCUUGUAAAUAAGAUGGAUUCUGCAAGAAGCUGGUUCUGAUUUCUAAAACGUUCGUAUGAUUUAUGUCAAUCGAUUCUCAAAUCAAUAAAAACAACAUAAAAUCCAGCUUAUGAGCCAUCAGAAAAUGACAGUGAUGCCGAGGAAACCAUUGAUCCUCGCCUCCACUCAAGCGUUCCUCAACUCCGCCAAGCAUCCUGAAGACUCGUCGAGGGCAUUUGAUGGCUCACGGUCACUAAAAUUGAAAGCGGCCAUCCUGCGUUUUGGUGAAGAACAAAGCGCUUUAGAUUUGGAGUCUAAGCAUGGAUCGCCUCUACUUGCUCUUUCGAUUGCUACUCUCAGGAGUUUGGGAUUAAUCGCUGGCUCACUGGUGCGAUUUAUAGUUCACUGUUUUCCUUAUUGAAAAUUUUACUGGUGUGUUUAUGUUUAUUUAUUUAUUUAUAUGAAAUGGAACUGUACAAGCAGAAUGAACUUUACAGUCCCUAUCUCCUUAUACUUUCUAAUUGGUUAU
RNAcentral lists this long non-coding RNA (2423 nucleotides) under Zostera marina. RNAcentral's name for it is "long non-coding RNA (ZMAR_LNC005638)". The record is from RNAcentral. Lineage: Eukaryota; Viridiplantae; Streptophyta; Magnoliopsida; Alismatales; Zosteraceae.